GUCAGGGUAGCUCAGUGGCAGAGCAGCAGUAUCAUAAACUGCGGGUCGUGGGUCCGAUCCCCACCCUUGACA
RNAcentral lists this transfer RNA (72 nucleotides) under Patescibacteria group bacterium. RNAcentral's name for it is "tRNA-Met". It matches the Rfam family "tRNA". Rfam says of the family: Transfer RNA (tRNA) molecules are approximately 80 nucleotides in length. Their secondary structure includes four short double-helical elements and three loops (D, anti-codon, and T loops). The record is from RNAcentral. RNAcentral also lists the same sequence under 1 other name.